Long non-coding RNA from Fukomys damarensis (Damara mole-rat), 399 nucleotides. RefSeq lists it as uncharacterized. The transcript is spliced from 4 exons. The record is from RefSeq and is a predicted model, not a curated record. NCBI's taxonomy places the organism in Eukaryota, Metazoa, Chordata, Mammalia, Rodentia, Bathyergidae.
UUCUUCCUUGGCUUGUACCAGAUCUCAGAGGAAAAGCUUACAACUUUUCUCAAGCAAAUCUGAUCAUCGUGAGCUUGUCAUGUAUGGCCUUUGUUGUGUUGAGUGGGAUUCACAUAUGGAAAACAAGAUAGUUCCUGACCUCCAGGUGUUUCCAAUCAGAAGUUUGCUGUGAAAUACUCUGCAACGUUUCUUCAAGAGCUGCCACUUACUCCUCGUGUGUCGAUUGUAUUGAAUAAUUGACCUGUACUCUUCAGGUUUAGUUUGGAUGAAUUAAGACAGAAACUUAUGCAAAUUCUACCAGAGCCUGUUUGCUAUGGGGAAGAUGAGACCUUUUGCUUCUUUGUUAAGGUCAAGAGCAUUUUCAGUGGGAGAAGGCUGACCAUUGUAGACCGUAAUGUA